GAUGGAGCUGCAGGUUGUCCUCAGGAUGGUUCUGCCCUCAGGACCUGGGCGUGAAUUCAGGGACAGGGUGGCCCUCCAGAACCGGAGUGACAAACUGUAACCAUACUUAGGGAGGCAGACGUCAAAGGCAAGUACAUCUGUAUUCAACUGGGUAAAGCCAUGUGAAGACGUGCCUGCCUCCCUGUUACCUUCCACCAUGAUUGUAAGCUUCCUGAGGCCUCCCCAGCCAUGCCUGCUGUAUAGCCUGCAGAACAGAUUAAUGAAAAUAAAACGCAGACCUUAUAAGCAGACGCUGUGAUUUUGUAAUAAAGAGGGGCAGCUUUUACAGGAAAAAGAACCCGAGGGAAGCUGUUGGCAGUCUGUGAAACGACGGUCAUGGUGGAAUUCGUUUUUCUGCACAUUAGAUGUUUAAAACAGCUGGUUUUCGUUGUUGUUGUUGUUGUUGUUUUCCUGAAAGAAUCUUGUUCCCCACAAUAUGUUCUUGGUAUUCAAAAUGGCUUUUGCUCCUACUUUUUGGAAAAUGCACUUCAGUUUCCAAUUUA
Long non-coding RNA from Homo sapiens (human), 542 nucleotides. Ensembl annotates it as BASP1 antisense RNA 1. Its record names the gene BASP1-AS1. The record is from Ensembl. NCBI's taxonomy places the organism in Eukaryota, Metazoa, Chordata, Mammalia, Primates, Hominidae.